AGGGAAUAUUCUGCACUGAAUCCAGGAUCCUACCCAAGCACAAUUCCUGCACACCAUUUUGAGAGAGAGCUGGGAGUGCCGAGUUCUUCGUUAUAAGAGCAUACUGUUUCAUCAACCCAUGGCAUGCCAAAAGGCCCGACAAUGUGGCAGGGUUAUAGUGAAACCCCAGGCAGGUUUACCGGUGUUAAUCAGCACUCUUCACCAUUAGCUACAGGGUCAUAUCCCUUGCUGAAUCCUACUCCUCAAAUGAUGAUGAGGGAAAAGCUACAACCAUCUCUUCCUUUCAUCGUUCGGCAUUAACAAAGUCUAAUCUAUUGACUAUGCCUUUUUCAGUAAACCACCCAAGCUUGAUUAAUCUAGAAGAUCAAGUUGCUAAUCAAGCAUUUUUUCAUCCUGCAUCAUCAGUUCCGGUGCAGUCCCUACCAUAUUCAACAUCAUGCGUUCCUGCUCCAAUAUCAGAAUCCUUAGUAAGGGAACAGCAAGCAUUGCAGACACUGAACUUGGCAGAAACCAACUUAUCUGAACAUUCUUCAGCAAGAAAUAUGUACCCUGCUCAAAUGGAUGUGGCUGGUUUAUGUUCAACAUCGUUGAAUAUCUCAUCUUCAGCUUCCCCUGCAUUUCAACUGAAUCAUUUGCCUCUGCCACCAAGUUCACAAAAGAUUUGCAGAGUCAAUGCCUAUCCCACUUUAAUGAUGAGUUUGAUAAGGAAGCAAUGCGUGGUAAAUCUAAGAAGGAUGAGGUUUGGGGGGAUCUUGGGAAAGCAUACCGGCACAAUAAGGUGGAGGGUAUACAGGAAAGUGGAGCAUGCAGUCAGGUAUCUUGGAAUGAUACUCUGAAUCGGUAUCCAAGAUUAACACAGAAGUUCAGUUAUGACAAUUAUUGGACAUUUGCUAUAAAAAUGGAUUCCUGUACUGUUUUUGAGUAUUGUUCUCUAUUAGUUUUAUUGUAAAUUUAUCGGCGGGAGUUAUUCUUUUAUCUUCUUAAAAUGCCCACUGAAAUUCAAGUGGUAGCAAUGAAAGUUCUUACUGUAGCAUUAGUUUCUUACUGAACAUUUCCUUGCAGCUUCCUUCGAAGUUUACUUAAGAAUUUGACUUCCAAGCAAUGAACAAGAAGUUCUAUAAACACAAGAUUUGGGAAGAUUUUGGGAAAGAAAGUUACAGAGAUAAAGUGGAGGGCGUACACCAAAUUAGCACAUAUAGCCGUGCCCCUGAGAUGCUCCUGACUUACAGAAUGCAUUUCCAUAUUUUGAUCUAACAUUUUCCUCUGCCUGCAGCCUUCCUAUAACAAAGAUGACUUCUUUGACACCACAUCUCGAAAUUCCAUCACCCGUGGAGCUAAGAGCGGUAAGAAUUGAUCUUCCAAGAGACAGAAAUUGAACCAUAAGACAUUUGGCGAUGUUCAACGAAGAACUCAAUCAGGUUUUGGCAGGCACAGAGCUGAACAGCGUGAGUAUCAUGGACAAUACACUUCGGGAUGGCAGUAUAACUAUCAUAGAGGCUGUGGGAGUCAUCGCCAGAGACACAUAGUUGUCACAGCACAAUGACGGCAGAGCCAACAGUUGAGAACAUAGCUAGCAAAGAAAGCACCGCGGAGCCAAUGUAGACUCCAUCUUUAACCAGGUAGCACUCGCCGUCUAGCCAUCCUUCUCCGUAAGCUUGGCUUCGGCUCA
Andrographis paniculata is the source of this 1669-nucleotide long non-coding RNA. RefSeq lists it as uncharacterized. The record is from RefSeq and is a predicted model, not a curated record. The transcript is spliced from 4 exons. NCBI's taxonomy places the organism in Eukaryota, Viridiplantae, Streptophyta, Magnoliopsida, Lamiales, Acanthaceae.